GCAAACUUGGUCAUUUAGAGGAAGUAAAAGUCGUAACAAGGUUUCCGUAGGUGAACCUGCGGAAGGAUCAUUAACGAAUCGUUUCGGGACUGUGCUGGCUUCGGCACGUGCACGUCCCAAUCAUCCGAUACACCUGUGCACCUUUGACCUCGAGCCGUCAGGCAAAGGGGUAUUACACACUCUUGCAUGUAUGUGACAGAAAGUGACGGCGCAAGCCGAAAACCAAAAAACAACUUUCAACAACGGAUCUCUUGGCUCUCGCAUCGAUGAAGAACGCAGC
Molecule: unclassified non-coding RNA, 280 nt
Filed under: uncultured fungus
Lineage: Eukaryota; Fungi
Description: partial contains small subunit ribosomal RNA, internal transcribed spacer 1, and 5.8S ribosomal RNA
Rfam family: Eukaryotic small subunit ribosomal RNA (bases 1-73)
Source: RNAcentral